AAUCAUCAACCAUGUCUAUUAGACAUUGGCUUGGAGUUGGGAAUUGCUGGCUCGUUCAGCUGUCCUGAAAUGCAUGCUAAUUGGACGUGUACACGGCUUGCGACGUGAUAAUGAUCGUUGUGGCUGGAGCACCAAACCAAUGUAGGGAUU
RNAcentral lists this unclassified non-coding RNA (150 nucleotides) under uncultured Retiboletus. RNAcentral's name for it is "sequence contains ITS2". The record is from RNAcentral. Lineage: Eukaryota; Fungi; Basidiomycota; Agaricomycetes; Boletales; Boletaceae.